Molecule: non-coding RNA, 94 nt
Organism: Acanthosepion pharaonis
Lineage: Eukaryota; Metazoa; Mollusca; Cephalopoda; Sepiida; Sepiidae
Source: the annotation of a GenBank genome assembly
UUACGGCCACAUCAUGUUGAAACACCAGUUCCCCUACGAUCACCGAAGUUAAGCAAACUCAAGCCUGGUCAGUACCUAGAUAGAUGACCGCUUG